GGGAGCUUGUUGCCACUAUCACUACCCACAUCUUCAUUUUCUUUGCCGGAAUUCAGGGAGAAAGAGGAUGGCCACCGUCACAACUCAAGCUUCUGCUGCCGUAUUCCGUCCAUGUGCAUCAAGAUCGAGGUUUCUCACUGGGUCUCCUGGUAAACUCAACAAAGAAGUGUCCUUUAAACCAAUGCCAUCUUCUUCUGCUGCUUCUUUCAAAGUUGAGGCCAAGAAAGGCGAGUGGUUGCCCGGUUUGCCCUCUCCAGCCUACCUCAACGGCAGUCUUCCGGGCGAUAAUGGCUUUGACCCCCUUGGACUCGCUGAGGACCCUGAGAACCUGAAAUGGUACAUCCAGGCUGAGCUCGUGAAUGGGCGUUGGGCUAUGUUGGGUGUUGUAGGGAUGCUAUUGCCAGAGGUUUUCACCAAGAUUGGAAUAAUCAAUGUUCCUCAAUGGUAUGAUGCUGGCAAAGCAGAGUACUUUGCAUCGUCAUCGACCCUCUUCGUAAUUGAGUUCAUAUUGUUCCAUUAUGUGGAGAUCAGAAGGUGGCAAGAUAUCAAGAACCCAGGAAGUGUCAACCAAGACCCAAUCUUCAAGCAAUACAGUUUGCCUCCAAAUGAAGUUGGUUACCCUGGCGGAAUUUUUAAUCCCCUCAACUUUGCACCCACUGUUGACGCCAAGGAGAAGGAGCUUGCAAAUGGGAGAUUGGCGAUGUUGGCGUUCUUAGGAUUUGUGGUUCAACACAAUGUCACUGGAAAAGGACCAUUUGAGAACCUGUUGCAGCACCUCUCAGACCCAUGGCACAACACAAUUGUCCAGACACUCAGGGGUUACUAAAAUUCAUUAAAGAAGAAACGGGGUCCUGUUUCUUGCUUUUGUAACCAUCAAUAGAUGGUUUCUGAGUGAGGUUUGAGCAUCAAUGUAAAACAAGGAACCUUCAGUGUACAGAGGAACUAAGGUGCCAUUUUAUUAUCAUUUUAUAUCACUUCAAUCCACUUAAUCACAAACCUCAUAGAAAACACCAGCUGCUCGGAAAUAACAAUCCUAUAGAACGAACUGAUUUAUAACAAUGAAAAUACGGAUCAAAUUGCUUUCAUUUUCUGCAAAAUUAUAGAUAUACAGCUUGUGUGACAGAAGCCUGUUGCCAGAAGCUCAUUCUUGCUAUAAGUAUGAUUAUAAAACGUAGAGUACAUAUAUACAGAUGACCUGGUAAAUAUGUACAUAUAUACAGCUAACAGCCUAACAAAUUGGAUGGCCCAGAACAUCCAGAUGGCUCUACAUUUCUGCGUUGAUUUGUCUUCCAUAUAACAAAAUCCUGUCCUAAAACCUCUCUGGCCAUAAACGGCUGGUCCAGAACACAUUACAGAACUACACCAUUAAUUCUUCCAACAAUCACUCCUCCCAUCAGGGAAAAAUAAUGUUCAACUCACAGAGUCAAUUUGGUUGCUGCAUGAAAUGAAGCAAACAGUAAGAAAGAUGAAGUCAUAGUAAGUUAUUACCUGAAAAAUGAGAAGUAGAAAUUAGCCAAAGAACAUGGAAAUGGCAAGAUGCGUUAAUGAUACACCAGUCCAAAACUUAAAUGAUGAACAGAUGAUGGCAUCAACCACCCUAAGGUUAUCCCGUUUAGUAAUGCAAAAGGAGGAAAAGGCUUAAAAGGGAAGGAACACCUAUAUGGUACAUUCCAUACUCAUGUAAAACCUAACUAAUGAAGUAAAAUGUGAGCACCAGAAACAGGAGAUCAUGCAUAACAAGUGAAACCUCUCAGGGUGCUUUUCCAAAAGAAAAAACUCAUCAGAAUAAACAGCUGAACUAAGUGAAAAAUGUAAACUAUAAACAGAAACAUUUCUUUGUAAUUGUGAUUGAACCAUGAAAUUGGCAUAACUUUUCUUGGUAUGAAAAUAAUUAUUUUCUUAUGCCCCAUCCCUUCUUGCUGAAAAGAUUUAGGAGGACUAAGCAUGUCAUUAAGCAUAAUUCUACGCAUGUGACAUUAAAUACAUCUUCACCGGAAUUUGGAUCCUUUGGCA
RNAcentral lists this unclassified non-coding RNA (2013 nucleotides) under Hevea brasiliensis (rubber tree). The record is from RNAcentral. Lineage: Eukaryota; Viridiplantae; Streptophyta; Magnoliopsida; Malpighiales; Euphorbiaceae.